RNAcentral lists this ribosomal RNA (270 nucleotides) under uncultured prokaryote. RNAcentral's name for it is "partial 16S ribosomal RNA". It matches the Rfam family "Bacterial small subunit ribosomal RNA", at positions 524 to 792 of the family's 1533-position model. The record is from RNAcentral.
UACGGAGGGUGCAAGCGUUAAUCGGAAUUACUGGGCGUAAAGCGCGCGUAGGCGGCUUGAUAAGUCAGAUGUGAAAGCCCCGGGCUCAACCUGGGAACUGCAUUUGAUACUGUCUGGCUAGAGUAUGGUAGAGGGGGGUGGAAUUCCCGGAGUAGCGGUGAAAUGCGUAGAUAGUCGGGAGGAACACCAGUGGCGAAGGCGGCCCCCUGGACCAAUACUGACGCUGAGGUGCGAAAGCGUGGGGAGCAAACAGGAUUAGAUACCCCGGUA